RNAcentral lists this ribosomal RNA (253 nucleotides) under uncultured bacterium. RNAcentral's name for it is "partial 16S ribosomal RNA". It matches the Rfam family "Bacterial small subunit ribosomal RNA", at positions 524 to 776 of the family's 1533-position model. The record is from RNAcentral.
UACAGAGGUCCCGAGCGUUGUUCGGAUUUAUUGGGCGUAAAGGGUGCGUAGGUGGCCAAGUAAGUUGGAUGUGAAAUCCUGGGGCUCAACCUCAGAAUUGCAUUCAAUACUGCUUAGCUAGAGAGCUGUAGAGGAGACUGGAAUUUACGGUGUAGCAGUGAAAUGCGUAGAUAUCGUAAGGAACGCCAGUGGCGAAAGCGAGUCUCUGGGCAGCAUCUGACACUGAGGCACGAAGGCCAGGGGAGCAAACGGG